This is a long non-coding RNA of Ziziphus jujuba (common jujube), 773 nucleotides long. RefSeq lists it as uncharacterized. The transcript is spliced from 2 exons. NCBI's taxonomy places the organism in Eukaryota, Viridiplantae, Streptophyta, Magnoliopsida, Rosales, Rhamnaceae. The record is from RefSeq and is a predicted model, not a curated record.
UAAACCCACAGCUACCGCUGCAAAGUAUAAACACAAAAAACCAAAAUACGACAAUCCAAUUACCAAUAUACACAUUAUAUUACACACUGUUGCCAGUGUCACUCUCUUUCUCUCUCUCUCUCUAUAUAUAAGCACACAUAGAGAGAGAAAAAAGAAUGGGGAGAGAGUUUUUGUGUGUAAAACGAAAACCCAACCAAGAAAAAGUGAAAAAAUAGAGAUCAAGGGAGGUUUUCUUUCUUUCAGAAACAACCAAAAAAAAGAAAAGUAGGGCUUUUUUUUUUUUUCCUCUUUUUUUUUUUUAACAUGUUUCCUGAAACCCAUUUCCAUUCUCAUUCUCAACCUUCUUCUUCUUCUACUUCUUCUUCUUGCUUUUCAUGGAACCGACACUUGUUCGACUAUGGUUUCCUCUCCUCAAGGUUUACGGAGAGCAGUGAUGCUUGCACAGGAGUGAACCAUCCAUCCCUCGUAGCACUUCUGGAAUUAGAAUAUGUAAACCGAUAAGUAUAUGUUUGUGGUAGGGAGGGAAUGAAGCCAUUGGUCCGUUGAGCAUAUAUUGAUACUGGUAUUAAAUCGACAUUUCUUGUAAUAGUAUUCACUAACCUUGAAAUAUCUUGGUUUGUACUUUCUGUGUCAAAGUUUUCCUAGUCAUUCUAUUGACUGAUUUGUGACUGUAUUUAGUAUCUACUUUUCUUUCAACUGAUAUUCCCAAAGAAAUCUAAAUUUUUAUUUGCCAAUUUUGUGUUCGCUGAUUAUCAUGAACCGUGAUUGAUACU